AUGUCACUCUUCUUAUGGAAACAGCAGCAACAACUGAUGAAGAGCUGCCUUUAUGAUCCAUCUGGCUGUGCACCUAUGAGCAGGAAAUCCUCCACUGGCACCCAGUCCCCCAGUACUGUAGGCACCUGGGCCUUUGUGUUGAAAAGCCACGGAGAGGUUGAGAACCGAAGAGGGAGAAGUGGGAGGACGUCAAGAAGCAAAACCUCACUCAAGAAAUAUCUUAACCACAGACAGCUCAACAGGCAGAGGAGCUGUCUUGCAGGAGCCAUAAGACCCAGGUUGUGUCUCAGUGCCCUUCUCACAGUCAGUAAUUAAUAUUAAUGACAAACGUUAGUAUUCAAACAAGUUAUCUAUCAGAAUUUCUAACUUGAAAAAAACAGCAUGACUUGUAGCUGAAUUGGAUGUGCUUUAUUUAUUUAUUUAUUUAUUUAUUUAUUUAUGUUCCCCCUGCAGUUGGGCAAGGCAACUCUCAAACAUGCUUUACCAGAAGUAUUUUGUAGGAUUUUCCUUUUCCCCACCCAUCAAAAAAUCCCAUGUGCGAGUCCCAUCUUCAUAAAAUAUUUAUUUAUAAAUAUUAUAUCUGCAGCUGUCCAGAGAGACCAGCAGGGAUGUCCUUUUAAAAUAUAUAUUGUUGCAGAUCCUGUUAAGCCCUUACAUCUUUCCCAGGUGGCUUUAGACCUUCUGCUUUAUUUGGUUUGCCUGUCCCAGUGACGCAGUGGCUGGGGACAGUGGUGAGUCCCUGUGCUGUCACCAUGGGAUGUCCCUGUAUACUGGAGCUCCCUGUUCUAGAUGGGCUGUUUGCCCAAGCCACCACUCAGUAGGAUGUGUGGGUGUCCAUGAAAUGUGUUUCUCUGGAAGGCUGGCUGGAUGGCAAAAUCUUCAAAAUACUCAGGGUUUGGUGAACAGUGGAAAACAGAACCUAGUGUGAUGACGAGAAGAGAAAAAGGUUUGUGGUGCUAGGGAGCAGGGUGAUGUUUGGGGGAUAACUGUGCUCUUGCUCAGCUGAGGCUGAGCUAGAACUACCUGAACUGGCUCAGCCAGCCUCAAAAACCUGGAUGUUGUUUUUUAGAUACAUUUGGGCAGUUUUCUACUGCAUCUCUGGAGAGUCCAGCAGCUCUUCUUGUUAUCACAAAACUUCUUAGCAGCUUUUUUUCCUGGGGAGCAAACAUUAGGGGUUGGCUCCCUUUGGCUGAAGGCACCCUCCUGGGUACCUAAGCCUUCCUCUUCUCUGCUGCAUUCAGAUGAAUGUAGAUGAGAUCCAAGUGCCUCCUUUCCUCUCCCAGCAGCAGGCAGUGGGUUUCCACUGGUGUCUGGGACCAAGGCAGUUCCCACCACUUCCUGGGAGCUUUCUGGGAGCAAAAGUCCCUGCUUGUGAAAAAAUACCAAUAAAGGGGAAACAAACAAACA
Molecule: long non-coding RNA, 1407 nt
Filed under: Anas platyrhynchos platyrhynchos (common mallard)
Lineage: Eukaryota; Metazoa; Chordata; Aves; Anseriformes; Anatidae
Description: lncRNA (ENSAPLG00000028547.1)
Source: RNAcentral